This 945-nucleotide long non-coding RNA is filed under the name Aquilegia coerulea. RNAcentral describes it as "long non-coding RNA (ACOE_LNC001112)". Lineage: Eukaryota; Viridiplantae; Streptophyta; Magnoliopsida; Ranunculales; Ranunculaceae. The record is from RNAcentral.
UAUCCAUUCAUACCCCUAGACAGUUUCUCAUGUCCUGCUGACAACCUUACAGUGGCUUACACUGAUACACUGGAAGUCCUGACAGCCUGACUGAAUGAAGAAAUGCUUUGCAUGAAAUAUAAGCUUUUCAAAUGAUACUUGUUUUAAUACCUGCAUUAUAUUAAUCUCAAUAAUACAUGUAAAACCACUAAUUUCUUCAUAUAUUGAUGAAAAUGAGUUACAUUACCUUCAAAUCUCCAAAUGGGACAAACAAGACCUUAUUGAUCGAUGAUCGCACAACAAAUAAUACAGCAUACUUACUACAUGGUAAAAGAACCAAUACCAACAACAUGAUAAGAGUUAUAAAUAAAGGAAAUAAAGAAGUAGAAAAACAAUGAGAUCAUGGCAUUGUUUAUGCACAUUUGAAACCAGAUGGGACAUUCUUCUCACAGACGUUAAGAAGCAAGGUAAGGGAUAAUGGGACAUUAAGAUUGAUCCCCAGUAUAUUGGCCUUAAGUGCAGUGCAAAGGCACACAGCUGCUUCGACGUCAGCAAGUCCUUGGAUGAGGGUGCAACAAGGGGUCUUAGGAGGAGUACCAACAACAGCACCAAUCAAACCACCAAGCAAAUUGACACAAACACCUAGCUUAAGGGUAUCCACAGGACAGGUAGCCUUGGAAGGUUUAGGUGAAGGAGUUGGCUUAGGCUUAGGAGUUGGCUUAGGUUUAGGCUUAACAGGGUCAGAACAAGUGCCACAAGCAGUGACAAGAGUAAAGAAGAGAAUGUUUAGUGCAAGAAAGAGAGCCAUAGAUGUAGAACUCUUGGAAGCCAUUUCUCAAAACACUCAAGCACUUUGUAAUACUACUAGUACUUUGUAGUAAGAAAUGUUUUCAGUUGAUGAAAUGAAAUUUCAUUAUGGUGGGUAUUUAUAAGGAUGAAGAGUGGCUUGUUGGAAUAAAUCUAAGA